UGGGGAAUAUUGGACAAUGGGCGAAAGCCUGAUCCAGCCAUGCCGCGUGUGUGAAGAAGGUCUUCGGAUUGUAAAGCACUUUAAGUUGGGAGGAAGGGCAUUAACCUAAUACGUUAGUGUUUUGACGUUACCGACAGAAUAAGCACCGGCUAACUCUGUGCCAGCAGCCGCGGUAAUACAGAGGGUGCAAGCGUUAAUCGGAAUUACUGGGCGUAAAGCGCGCGUAGGUGGUUUGUUAAGUUGGAUGUGAAAUCCACGGGCUCAACCUGGGAACUGCAUUCAAAACUGACUGACUAGAGUAUGGUAGAGGGUGGUGGAAUUUACUGUGUAGCGGUGAAAUGCGUAGAUAUAGGAAGGAACACCAGUGGCGAAGGCGACCACCUGGACUAAUACAGACACUGAGGUGCGAAAGCGUGAGGAGCAAACA
Molecule: ribosomal RNA, 427 nt
Filed under: uncultured bacterium
Lineage: Bacteria
Description: partial 16S ribosomal RNA
Rfam family: Bacterial small subunit ribosomal RNA
Source: RNAcentral